RNAcentral lists this ribosomal RNA (429 nucleotides) under Bacteroidota bacterium. Its description in RNAcentral is "Bacteroidetes bacterium partial 16S ribosomal RNA". It matches the Rfam family "Bacterial small subunit ribosomal RNA", at positions 355 to 776 of the family's 1533-position model. The record is from RNAcentral. Lineage: Bacteria; Pseudomonadati; Bacteroidota.
UAGGGAAUCUUCGGCAAUGGGGGGAACCCUGACCGAGCAACGCCGCGUGAGUGAAGAAGGCUUUCGGAUCGUAAAGCUCUGUUGUUAAGGAAGAACGAGUGUGAGAAUGGAAAGUUCAUGCUGUGACGGUACUUAACCAGAAAGGGACGGCUAACUACGUGCCAGCAGCCGCGGUAAUACGUAGGUCCCGAGCGUUGUCCGGAUUUAUUGGGCGUAAAGCGAGCGCAGGCGGUUAGAAAAGUCUGAAGUGAAAGGCAGUGGCUCAACCAUUGUAUGCUUUGGAAACUGUUUAACUUGAGUGCAGAAGGGGAGAGUGGAAUUCCAUGUGUAGCGGUGAAAUGCGUAGAUAUAUGGAGGAACACCGGUGGCGAAAGCGGCUCUCUGGUCUGUAACUGACGCUGAGGCUCGAAAGCGUGGGGAGCGAACAGG